GACGAACGCUGGCGGCGUGCUUAACACAUGCAAGUCGAACGGAGUGGCGAGCGGGUGAGUAACACGUGGGUGAUCUGCCUUGCACUCUUGGGUAAGAUUGGGAAACUGGGUCUAAUACCGGGGAGUGCAAGAUGAGCUCGCGGCCUGUCAGCUUGUUGGUGGGGUAAUGGGCUACCAAGUAGUCGACGGGUAGCCGGCCUGAGAGGGUGUACGGCCAGAAUAGGACUGAGAGACGGCCCAGACGCCGACGGGGGGCAUAAGUGGGGAAUAUCGCACGAUUGGCGGAAGCCUGAUGCAUGGAGGCCGCGUGGGGGAUGACGGCCUUCGGGUUGUAAACUCCUUUCGACAGGGACGCGGUACCUGUAUAAGAAGCACCGGCUAACUACGUGCCAGCAGCCGCGGUAAUAC
This 408-nucleotide ribosomal RNA is filed under the name uncultured bacterium. Its description in RNAcentral is "partial 16S ribosomal RNA". It matches the Rfam family "Bacterial small subunit ribosomal RNA", at positions 28 to 526 of the family's 1533-position model. The record is from RNAcentral.